AAUACCACACCGAACCAUUUCUUCUUUCACGAUGAUCGUAAAUUUUCUAUUAAUUAUGUUUAUACAUUACCAAUAUAAUUGAGAGAGAAAAAAAGAAGAAGAAACGUUGAGAAGAUCGUGAACUGGAAACGAUAGAAGAACCUAAUAACGACGUGUCAUGAGAAACUAAAAAACAAAAAAGUAAAAAAAGAAGCAAAGAUACACCGGUUCGUUCGUAAGUCAACGACUAAUGAUACGCUGUCCAUCUAAUUACCGCAGCUGUAGUAUAGAAAUUCUAAGAGAAAGGCAAAUGCCAUUGGGUUACGCUAAAGGUAUCUAAAAACACUAGCAUAGCACAAGUCUCGUUGGAUCGACCAACAACAACGUUUGCUUGCUGCUGUUGCUGCUGCUCUUUUCAGAAACGUCGAUCUUGCAUCAAUCACUGUUAAACUCAUUGCUGCUCGUUAGUCGUCUAAGGCGAGAUAAAGGUACUACUGCCAAAUCAAACGAUUUAUUUAACAUUGAGAGGAAAAAAAAACAUUUCUUCCCCAGCAGGAUUUGAUCUCACGACGUUCACGUUCAAAUUAAGUGGGAUUCGAACCCACGCCCUCAGAGAGGACCAGAAGCCUCAACUGAACUCGCUUGGCGAGCAAGGUACGAACCUUGAGUCUGGCG
Polistes dominula (European paper wasp) is the source of this 654-nucleotide long non-coding RNA. Lineage: Eukaryota; Metazoa; Arthropoda; Insecta; Hymenoptera; Vespidae. The record is from RefSeq and is a predicted model, not a curated record.